CAUCGAUCAUUAAUGCACCAAUGUAUACCAUCGAAUUGUUUGUUAUUUGCUCGAUGUAUAGCCAUCGUAAUGCAUCCGCUCUGGUCCUGGAUUCCUCCAGCAUAAGCCGCAGUUGUCCCGCGAGCCAGCACCAAUAUAGGCAGCAUUUUAGAACAUGUUGCAUCUUGUACCCAACUUGGGCACAUGUCGAACUAUGAGAAAAUAUUGUCCAGCUCGCUCGGUCCCCUCCAGCGCAGGCAAAACAUUAACUGUUCUUCUCCACACACCGCAACACCCUCCACCCCACCUACCAGAAACGCUCUCGGCGGCGGCGUAGAUCAAGGUGUGAAGUUUCCCCCCACUGCCCCCCGUCGCCGGCAAGGAAGCUCUCCUUGGCAACCACCCCCGAUAUAUCCGAUGCUUGCAGUCCCGUUUUGAACGCUCCAGAUCGUUCAGUUCAGCGAAAGGAUGCCCAGCCGCAUCAACGCCGUCACAGAGCCACAAAAUGACGAUGUAUCGAGCCCAAUAUCUGUCACAGUGCAAGAUUCGUCCAGGUCCACGCUAGCCGAUGCAACUCUUACAUCUCGCAUAUCAAUUCAGAAGUUCUGUUGCGUCGUAUCCCAGUUUAGUAACUUCAAGCGCGGGCUAGUUACUGAGACUGGUUUCGGAGGGCUGAUGCAUUUGAAAAUUACACACAAGCUCAAUUUGAAAUGCAGUUCGUUGUUGAUGUUCAGAGUAGAUCCACACGAAUGCGUGUUAGAAUUGGAUCAAUCAAGGAGAAUCCCAAUCACUGACCAAGACGUAAAUGAUGUUUUUGGGUUACCACAAGGAAGUAGGAUCAUCCCUCCAGGACAUUCAGAUCUAUCUGAAGUUUUUUAUAGAGUUCAGCACACUGGCUUCAAGCAUCAGCACGAAAGGCGUUCAUAGUUUGAAGGCCGCUGAAUUUAUUUUAUCAAAACCACUAGAUGAGACUUCAAGCAAAGUUGAAUGUGAAUGCUUUAAGAUAGCAUUUGUGAUCUUCUCAGUUGGCCAUGUCCUAAACCCAUGUGUGAAGCACGAUUACACCAGUGUUGAUUACUGGGCAGCACUAGUUGUCCCGUCAGAGAUGAAUUCCUACAACUGGUGUAGGUUAGUGAAGGACAGUUUGAUGAAAGGCGUCAGGAAGAUCAAGUCCGACAUCGCUAAUUGCAAUACCACUAUUCACAUAGUUGGAUGUCACCUUCUACUUCAGGUAAUUGCUUUGGACAAGAUUGAAAAAUCAAGCAGGCACAUCGCACAGAAUAUCCUUCCUCGUGUCAAAGUUUUCGAUCACGAGUCAGUUAAGAAGGCAAUUGACUCGAUUACAUCCCACCAAGGACAAGAAGUUAUUUAUGCAGGAUCAGAAUGUGUUCUCAAUGAGAUUGGAUCUUGGGGAUGGUCGUUUUAUGGAUGUAAACGCACGAGAAGUACGUAGAAUUCUUGGUCUAGUUGGAGGUGGUGGUCGGACUCGUGUUUUGCGUAGGAUGUGUUUGCGUAAUAGGCUAGAGGUGCUUGAGAGAGUGCACGAACUGCUUGGGAAUGAUUAUGCAAAGUGUGCAUCGAUUUCUAUUUUGCGUUUGAAGAAGAUUCUUCAAAAUGCAAGAAGAGAAGAACUCACUCCGGCAGUUAGGAGGAAAAUUAAAGUCGCACAUACCAUGCUAGCAUUCUCAACAUUUCUAGCUCCACAAGAUCCAUAUGCAAAGGUAGCGGACGAGAUUCUGUACAUGGUACAGUAUCCGGAUGAAAUAGACAAGUACAAUGUCACCGAGUACAUCAUAGAGAGUCUCAGGCAUGGGACUAGACAUGCGCGCCGCAGCCUCGAGCGUGGGCACGCAAGAAUCGUCAUAGAAGGAUGCAUGCUAAUUCCACAGAUACUGUUUUGCGAGUCUUGCGAAUACUUGCCAAGCGAUAUCGCCACCCUAGCAGAACCGCAGAUCGCUGCCUACGGCCAGUCCAGACUAAAAAGAAUCAUCAGGCGUUAUGCACCACCUGAGAUUUACUGUGGGCUUCGGGUGAGGGGGCAAGAACAUUCGGAUAGCAGCAUGGGCGCUGGUGGUGGGGAUGGAACGGUACCAGCUGAGAUGCAUAGCUCUGAUGCUGAACAUGACAGCGACGCUGCAAGUACUGGAGGGGGGGGGGGUGGGUGGACCACCAGCUCUGGAUAUGGAUGCUUUCAAAAAUAUGAUCAAUGGUAUAGCUGAGAGAGUGCUGUAGAAGGAGAUGGCAAGGAUUGAUGCCGAUACUGACUCAAAGUUGAUGGCCCUCGCCAAGGAACUAGAAGUUUCUGAGAUGCGUACCAGAUGUCUGCGUUCUCAAAUGGACGCAGUCAUAGCUGAAGGCAACCGCAGGCGCAUGCAUAUGUUUACAUGAAGAGGGAGAAUGCCGGCAGCUGGAAUUCUGGGCUAGAAAAGGAGCAAAUAUUAGAGACCUAUUCCGCACAACUCCAAAAGUCCUGAAACUCCACGAAAGUCAGUUUCUGAAUAUAUUAAAAAUAUUGGGCGAAGAAAGCACCAGAGGGGGGGUCACCCACUGUCCACAAGGGUGGAGGGCGCGCCCUACCCCCCCUGGGCGCGCCCCCUGCCUCGUGGGCUACCUGGAAGCCCCUGAUGCCCAUAUUCUGAUAUACGGUGUCUUUUUCCCUGAAAAAAGAAGAAGGAAGCUUUUGGGACGAAGCGCCGCCGUCUUGAGGCGGAACCUUGGCGGAACAAAUCUAGGGCUCCGGCGGAGCUGUUCUGCCGGGGAAACAUCCCUCCGGGAGGGGGAAAAUCGUCACCAUCGUCAUCACCAUCGAU
This is an RNA transcript of Triticum aestivum (bread wheat), 2789 nucleotides long. RefSeq lists it as uncharacterized. Lineage: Eukaryota; Viridiplantae; Streptophyta; Magnoliopsida; Poales; Poaceae. The record is from RefSeq and is a predicted model, not a curated record. The transcript is spliced from 8 exons.